AGUAACCGCUCGCAGUCGGCCUAACUCAUGCAAGUCGAACGCCAGCUCCGUAAGCCCUUGCUCUUACGUGCGUCGACAGGCGUACGGGUCAGGCAUCCCUCGGAAUCUACUUUUUCGUGCGCGAUAACGUAGGCCAACUUACGCCAAUACCGCAUACGACCUACGGGUGAAAGCAGUGCAUCUUCGGACCUUGCGCGCUUGAAUGAGCCGAUGUCGGAUUAGCUAGUUGGCGGGGUAAAGGCCCACCAAGGCGCCGAUCCGUAGCUGGUCUGAGAGGAUGUUCGGCCACACUGGAACUGAGACACGGUGCAGACUCCGACGCAGGGAAGCAGUGGGGAAUAUGGGACAAUGGGCGAAAGCAUGAUCCAGCCGUACCGAGUGGGUGAAGAAGGCCUUCGGGUGGGAAAGCCGUGUUGUGGAGAAAGAAAAGCAGCAGAUGAAUACCGCGCUGUUCUGACGGUACCCAAAGAAUAAGCGCCGGCGAACUUCGUG
Molecule: ribosomal RNA, 492 nt
Filed under: uncultured bacterium
Lineage: Bacteria
Description: partial 16S ribosomal RNA
Rfam family: Bacterial small subunit ribosomal RNA
Source: RNAcentral